AUUGAACGCUGGCGGCAGGCCUAACACAUGCAAGUCGAGCGGAUGAAGGGAGCUUGCUCCUGGAUUCAGCGGCGGACGGGUGAGUAAUGCCUAGGAAUCUGCCUGGUAGUGGGGGAUAACGUCCGGACACGGGCGCUAAUACCGCAUAAGUCCUGAGGGAGAAAGUGGGGGAUCUUCGGACCUCACGCUAUCAGAUGAGCCUAGGUCGGAUUAGCUAGUUGGUGGGGUAAAGGCCUACCAAGGCGACGAUCCGUAACUGGUCUGAGAGGAUGAUCAGUCACACUGGAACUGAGACACGGUCCAGACUCCUACGGGAGGCAGCAGUGGGGAAUAUUGGACAAUGGGCGAAAGCCUGAUCCAGCCAUGCCGCGUGUGUGAAGAAGGUCUUCGGAUUGUAAAGCACUUUAAGUUGGGAGGAAGGGCAGUAAGUUAAUACCUUGCUGUUUUGACGUUACCAACAGAAUAAGCACCGGCUAACUUCGUG
Molecule: ribosomal RNA, 484 nt
Filed under: uncultured bacterium
Lineage: Bacteria
Description: partial 16S ribosomal RNA
Rfam family: Bacterial small subunit ribosomal RNA
Source: RNAcentral